Molecule: ribosomal RNA, 403 nt
Filed under: uncultured bacterium
Lineage: Bacteria
Description: partial 16S ribosomal RNA
Rfam family: Bacterial small subunit ribosomal RNA
Source: RNAcentral
GACGAACGCUGGCGGCGUGCCUAAUACAUGCAAGUCGAACGCAGUGGGGACGGGUGAGUAACACGUGGGUAACCUCCCAUCAGAGGGGAUAACACUUGGAAACAGGUGCUAAACCGAUACUGAUGGAUGGACCCGCGGUGCAUUAGCUAGUGGGUGAGGUAACGGCUCACCAAUGCCACGAUGCAUAGCGGACCGGAGAGAAUGAUGAGCCACACUGGAACUGGGACACGGACCCACAUCCUACGGAAGGCAGAAGUAGGGAAGCUAAGGCAAUGGACGAAAGUCUGACGGAGCAACGCCGCGGGAGUGAAGAAGGUGUGCGGAACGUAAAACACUGUUGUUAGAGAAGCGGUAUCUAACCAGAAAGCCACGGCUAACUACAUGCCAGCAGCCGCGGUAAUUC